GAUGAACGCUGGCGGCGUGCCUAAUACAUGCAAGUAGAACGCUGAAGGAGGAGCUUGCUCUUCUGGAUGAGUUGCGAACGGGUGAGUAACGCGUAGGUAACCUGCCUGGUAGCGGGGGAUAACUAUUGGAAACGAUAGCUAAUACCGCAUGACAACAGUUAUUGCAUGAUAACUGUUUAAAAGGGGCAACUGCUCCACUACCAGAUGGACCUGCGUUGUAUUAGCUAGUUGGUGAGGUAACGGCCCACCAAGGCGAAGAUACAUAGCCGACCCGGGAGGGAGAUUGGCCAACCCUGGACUGAGGAACGGCCCAGAAUUCUUCGGGAAGCAGGCGUAGGGGAACUUCGGCAAUGGACGGAAGGCUGACUGCGGAACGCCGGGGGAGUGAAGAAGGUUUUCGGAUCGUAAAGCUCUGUUGUAAGAGAAGAAAGAGUGUGAGAGUGGAACGUUCACGCUGUGACGGUACCGUAACAGAAAGCGACGGCUAACUACGUG
This 495-nucleotide ribosomal RNA is filed under the name uncultured bacterium. RNAcentral's name for it is "partial 16S ribosomal RNA". It matches the Rfam family "Bacterial small subunit ribosomal RNA", at positions 28 to 507 of the family's 1533-position model. The record is from RNAcentral.